GGGUUAUUUCCAGGUGAUUGCUGGAUUCGAAGUUCUAGAUCUAAGCAUCAAUGGUGUCCUCCCUCUCCAUGUCCGCGAGGGUUAUUUCCAGUGGGGGUUAUUUCUAGGUGAUUGUCGCAUUCAAAGUUCUAUGUCUAAGGAUCGAUGGUGUCCUUCCUCUUCAUGGUGGUGGGGUUAUUUCCAGGUGAUUGACGGGUUCAAAGUUUGAUCUAAGCAUCGAUGGUAUGAUCCCUCUUCAUGGCCCUGAGGGUUAUUUCGAGCUGCUGCUACGAGCUUGCUCUAGCCGGGAGCUUGCUCUAGCCGGGAGAGGACAGGAGGAGGAAGCGCGGGUGGAGGAUCUUGUCCAGUCUGGAGCAAGAAAAAGAAGAAGAUUGCUAGGAAUGGAGUUCUUCCGUGUGCCGCUAUUUUUGCUCUUUGCUCAGUGCAUUCAUGUUGAGUCUAACAAGACGAGCACAAGUUGGAGUGUUGCCGUUGCUUUGGUCACGGUGUCACUAAAGUUUUGUUGGCUUGUAAUAUAGUCUAGUUACACAUACAUUGAUAUUUAGUUGGCAGAAAAACUAGUUGCACACAUAUAUGCUCAGUUUGGCUUGUAAUUUAGUCUAGUUACACAUAUAUUAAUGUUAAAUUGGCAGGACACUACUUGCACACACAUAUGCGCAAUUUGACGCGGCAAUGUAGUCUAGUUGCACACACAUUGAUAUUUAUUUGGCAGGACUAGUUACACAUAUAUGCUCAGUUGGCUCGGCAAUAUUGUCUAGUUGCACACAUAUUGAUGUUUAGUUGAGAGGACUAUUGGAACAUCCAUAUGCUCAGUUGGCGCAAUAAUGUAGUCUACUUGCACACACAUUAAUAUUUAGUUGGCAGGACUAUUUUUGGCACACACAUAUGCUCAGUUGGUUUGUAAUUUUGUCUAGUUGCACACGCAUUGAUGUUUAGUUGACAGGACUAUUUGGCACACACAUAUGCUCAGUUGACUUGUAAUUUUAUCUAAUUGCACACACAUUGAUGUUUAGUUGGCAGGACUAUUGGCACAGUUGGCUUGUAAUUUUGUCUAGUUGCACGCACAUUUGAUGUUUAGUUGGCAGAAGGACUAUUGACAUACACAUAUGCUUAGUUGGCGCGGC
Triticum dicoccoides is the source of this 1124-nucleotide long non-coding RNA. RefSeq lists it as uncharacterized. The transcript has 4 exons. NCBI's taxonomy places the organism in Eukaryota, Viridiplantae, Streptophyta, Magnoliopsida, Poales, Poaceae. The record is from RefSeq and is a predicted model, not a curated record.